GAUGAACGCUGGCGGCGUGCCUAAUACAUGCAAGUCGAGCGAACAGACGAGGAGCUUGCUCCUCUGACGUUAGCGGCGGACGGGUGAGUAACACGUGGUUAACCUACCUAUAAGACUGGGAUAACUUCGGGAAACCGGAGCUAAUACCGGAUAAUAUAUUGAACCGCAUGGUUCAAUAGUGAAAGACGGUUUUGCUGUCACUUAUAGAUGGAUCCGCGCCGCAUUAGCUAGUUGGUAAGGUAACGGCUUACCAAGGCGACGAUGCGUAGCCGACCUGAGAGGGUGAUCGGCCACACUGGAACUGAGACACGGUCCAGACUCCUACGGGAGGCAGCAGCAGGGAAUCUUCCGCAAUGGGCGAAAGCCUGACGGAGCAACGCCGCGUGAGUGAUGAAGGUCUUCGGAUCGUAAAACUCGGUUAUUAGGGAAGAACAAAUGUGUAAGUAACUAUGCACGUCUUGACGGUACCUAAUCAGAAAGCCACGGCUAACUACGUG
RNAcentral lists this ribosomal RNA (497 nucleotides) under uncultured bacterium. Its description in RNAcentral is "partial 16S ribosomal RNA". It matches the Rfam family "Bacterial small subunit ribosomal RNA", at positions 28 to 507 of the family's 1533-position model. The record is from RNAcentral.